AAUCAACGCUGGCGGCGUGCCUCAGACAUGCAAGUCGAACGAUUAAAGCUCUCUUCGGAGAGUGCAUAAAGUGGCGCACGGGUGAGUAAAACGUAAGUAAUCUACCUUCGAGUGGGGAAUAACGUCCGGAAACGGACGCUAAUACCGCAUAAUGCAGCGGCACCUAAUGGUGACAGUUGUUAAAGAAUUUAUUCGCUUGAAGAGGAGCUUGCGGCAGAUUAGCUAGUUGGUAAUGUAAUGGCUUACCAAGGCUUCGAUCUGUAACCGGUCUAAGAGGACGGUCGGUCACACUGACACUGAAUAACGGGUCAGACUCCUACGGGAGGCAGCAGUCGGGAAUUUUGGGCAAUGGGCGAAAGCCUGACCCAGCAACGCCGCGUGAAGGAUGAAGUAUUUCGGUAUGUAAACUUCGAAAGAAUGGGAAGAAUCUAUGACGGUACCAUUUAUAAGGUCCGGCUAACUACGUGCCAGCCGCCGCGGUAA
This 483-nucleotide ribosomal RNA is filed under the name uncultured bacterium. RNAcentral's name for it is "partial 16S ribosomal RNA". It matches the Rfam family "Bacterial small subunit ribosomal RNA", at positions 32 to 523 of the family's 1533-position model. The record is from RNAcentral.